GAGGAAUCUGUCUUACAGGAAGAGGAAUCUGUCUUACAGGAGGAGGAAGCUGUCAUACAGGGGGAGGAAGCUGUCAUACAGGGGGAGGAAGCUGUCAUACAGGAGAAGGAAGUGGUCAUACAGGAGAAGGAAGUGGUCUUACAGGAGGACGAAGUUGUCUUGCAGGAGGAGGAAGCUGUCCUACAGGAAGAGGAAUCUGUCUUACAGGAGGAGGAAGUGGUCCUACAGGUGGAGGUUGUGGUCGUCCAUGAAGAGGAAAUGGUCGUACAGAAGAAGAAAGUGGUCCUACAGGUGGUGGCAGUGAUCGUAAAGGAUGAGGAAGUAGUCCAACAGAAAGAGGAAGGAGUUAUAAUGGAGGAGACAGGGGUCCUACGGGAGAAGGAAGUAGUCGUAAAGGAAGAGGAAGUGGUUUUACAGGAGGAGAAAUUCGUUCUAGAGGUGGACGUAGUUGUCGUUCAGGAAGCGGCAGUUGUCAGAGGAGGAACCAGUGCAGCUUGAGACUCCUCUAGUCUUUAAUAAAUAAUGUAUUUUUGAUAAAGCAGAGUGUGUAUUUAUAUAUAACUCUGACUUACUUGUCCUGCACAAUAAUCUAACAUGUUAUUUAUUUACAGGUACCUUUAUUUACGGGUACCUGUGCAAAUAAAUCACAUAAUAUUGCUUUUCAUUAAGGAUCAUACCUGCAGCCAACAUAUUGUAUUCCAUCAUUUUAUACUGCUGACUCAACUG
This is a long non-coding RNA of Gasterosteus aculeatus aculeatus (three-spined stickleback), 726 nucleotides long. The record is from Ensembl. NCBI's taxonomy places the organism in Eukaryota, Metazoa, Chordata, Actinopteri, Perciformes, Gasterosteidae.